This 527-nucleotide ribosomal RNA is filed under the name uncultured bacterium. Its description in RNAcentral is "bacterial SSU rRNA". It matches the Rfam family "Bacterial small subunit ribosomal RNA", at positions 8 to 521 of the family's 1533-position model. The record is from RNAcentral.
AGAGUUUGAUCCUGGCUCAGAACAAACGCUGGCGGCGUGUCUUAAGCAUGCAAGUCGAGCGGCAAGGGCAGCAAUGCCCCUAGAGCGGCGGACUGGUGAGUAACGCGUGGGUGAUCUACCUUGGGCAUGGGGAUAGCCAUUAGAAAUAGUGGGUAAUACCGAAUACGUUCGUUACCGUGAGGGUAACGAGGAAAGGCGCUACGGCGCCGGCCUGGAGAUGAGCUUGCGUCUGAUUAGCUAGUUGGUGAGGUAAUGGCUCACCAAGGCGAUGAUCGGUAGCCGGCCUGAGAGGGUGUACGGCCACACUGGGACUGAGAUACGGCCCAGACUCCUACGGGAGGCAGCAGCUAAGAAUAUUCCGCAAUGGACGAAAGUCUGACGGAGCGACGCCGCGUGGAUGAUGAAGGCCGAAAGGUUGUAAAGUCCUUUUGCUGGGGAAGAAUAAGCGUGGGAAGGGAUGCCCCCCGUGAUGACCUUGAACCGGCGAAAUAAGCCCCGGCUUAACUACCUGCCCAGCCGGCCCCGGU